Molecule: non-coding RNA, 524 nt
Organism: Pelobates cultripes (western spadefoot toad)
Lineage: Eukaryota; Metazoa; Chordata; Amphibia; Anura; Pelobatidae
Source: the annotation of a GenBank genome assembly
AAAUGAGUGGUCAGCUAGCUGGUGUGAAGAUUAAAUUGUUAUGGGCAAGCUGGUUAUUGAGUGAGAUCUAGGUCCCAUGUACUUCUAGGUCUUGAAGAAUAGGAAUGUAAAAAGGUCCAGCAUGUUGUAAUUACUGGCCAUUAAGAUAAUCAGGGUUAAAUAAAUAAAACCUGCAGAUUGGUAAUUGUAGUUAACAGCUGUAGUGCAUAUCAUGUCAUCAGACAUAUGCUAGGCCAGAUCCAGGGUACAAAGUAUCAGGAUAAUUGAAGGAAAAGAUUGUAGAAAAAAAAAGAAGAAAUACAUUUUCUAAAUCCUAGGAAUGGUGGAACCGUGAAAAUAAUUAGGUGGUUUGGAGGGUUGCUCUCUAACUCUCCUUUAGUUACCAAAUAAUACUAUUUACCUGUCUUCUGCAGGCCUACAAUAACACUGUGCCAAUUUUAACCUAUGUUAACUUAUUGUUCAUACAGGUAAUAUUUCAAAAUAAUAAUAUAAAAAACCCAAUAUAUGGUGCACCUAACCUUAAC